AUUAUAUAUUCCUGUUGCAACGCACGGGCAUUCAGCUAGUAAUUUUAGAAGUUUUUGGAGAUGCUGUGUAAGUUGAUUCAUAUUGGACCAAGAGACUGCCCAAGACAGUGAACACAACAAUUCUUCCUUGCCGAUUGAACCCUGGUACGGUAAGUAAUUUACAUCAUGGUACAAACUGGAACCAGUGCGCGCUCACGUGCAUCCGAACACCUAGAUAUCCGCAGCGGUGGCCGGUGGGCGGUGGCGCCUCCACCCCCUCACUUGCCGGGCACAAAGUUGGUGGCAUAGGCCCAUGCGUUGUUGUUGACGGGGUCGGCGAGGUGGUCGGCGAGGUUCUCGAGCGGGCCCUUGCCGGUGACGAUGGCCUGGACGAAGAACCCGAACAUGGAGAACAUGGCGAGGCGGCCGUUCUUGAGCUCCUUCACCUUGAGCUCCGCGAAGGCCUCAGGGUCGUCGGCGAGGCCGAGCGGGUCGAAGCUGCCGCCGGGGUAGAGCGGGUCGACGACCUCUCCGAGCGGGCCGCCGGCGACGCGGUACCCCUCGAUGGCGCCCAUGAGCACGACCUGGCAGGCCCAGAUGGCGAGGAUGCUCUGCGCGUGGAUCAGGCUCGGGUUGCCGAGGUAGUCCAGCCCACCCUCGCUGAAGAUCUGCGACCCGGCCUUGAACCACACGGCCUCGCCGAACUUGACGCCGUUGCGGGCGAGCAGCUCCGGGAACACGCAGCCCAACGCGCCCAGCAUGGCCCAGCGGGAGUGGAUGACCUCCAGCUCCCGGUUCUUGGCGAACGUCUCCGGGUCCGCCGACAGCCCCGCGGUGUCCCAGCCGUAGUCGCCCGGGAACUCGCCCGUCAGGUAGCUCGGGGGCGCGCCGGACAGCGGGCCCAGGUAGAGCACGC
RNAcentral lists this long non-coding RNA (895 nucleotides) under Zea mays. RNAcentral's name for it is "long non-coding RNA (ZMAY_LNC004853)". The record is from RNAcentral. Lineage: Eukaryota; Viridiplantae; Streptophyta; Magnoliopsida; Poales; Poaceae.